Molecule: ribosomal RNA, 497 nt
Filed under: uncultured bacterium
Lineage: Bacteria
Description: partial 16S ribosomal RNA
Rfam family: Bacterial small subunit ribosomal RNA
Source: RNAcentral
GAUGAACGCUGGCGGCGUGCCUAAUACAUGCAAGUCGAGCGAACAGACGAGGAGCUUGCUCCUCUGACGUUAGCGGCGGACGGGUGAGUAACACGUGGAUAACCUACCUAUAAGACUGGGAUAACUUCGGGAAACCGGAGCUAAUACCGGAUAAUAUAUUGAACCGCAUGGUUCAAUAGUGAAAGACGGUUUUGCUGUCACUUAUAGAUGGAUCCGCGCCGCAUUAGCUAGUUGGUAAGGUAACGGCUUACCAAGGCAACGAUGCGUAGCCGACCUGAGAGGGUGAUCGGCCACACUGGAACUGAGACACGGUCCAGACUCCUGCGGGAGGCAGCAGUAGGGAAUCUUCCGCAAUGGGCGAAAGCCUGACGGAGCAACGCCGCGUGAGUGAUGAAGGUCUUCGGAUCGUAAAACUCUGUUAUUAGGGAAGAACAAAUGUGUAAGUAACUAUGCACGUCUUGACGGUACCUAAUCAGAAAGCCACGGCUAACUACGUG